RNAcentral lists this long non-coding RNA (1066 nucleotides) under Nicotiana benthamiana. RNAcentral describes it as "long non-coding RNA (NBEN_LNC034223)". Lineage: Eukaryota; Viridiplantae; Streptophyta; Magnoliopsida; Solanales; Solanaceae. The record is from RNAcentral.
UUAGAACUUCUAUAUGAGCUUGUGUAGUUAGAACUAAAUGUAAAUGAGUAGUAGAAGUCCAUACUACUACAGGAAUCUAUUGUACAUAUUUUUUUUUUUUAAAAAAAAAAGAUACUACCAGACCCAUAUAGUUGUUUGGCAGUUUAUACUACUAAAAACAUCUUGAUCUUCUUCUCGUUCCGAACAUCCUCUUCUACAUGAGUGAAAUGGCAAGACUUUGAGAACAUCUAUGGACUUUUAUACAUUCAGCAGUUUAUCAAUGUGAACAAACAUAAAUAGCUCCAUCUAUAUCACAAUUUGACCAAAAAUGAGAUCGUAACUCUACAUGCGGAUGUUAGUUUAUGUUUCAAAGUCUCACUCACGAAGAUCAAGUGCCAAAAAUAAACAAUUAAAAGAUCUUAUAGCAAACUUAAUAUUGAAAUUUCUCUUCUUUUUGAUAAAAAAACAUCCAUAACAUAAGAAGUGUAUUUUAUUAAGCCAAAGAUAUUGUUCAAAACUAAAAGGGUACUUCUAAUUAUUCUUCUUUUCCUAAAGCUUGCAGCGCCUUCUCCCGCCCCAACUCCAGGGAAAGAAAAAGUUUAAAUUCAGAUGGAUAAUUAAUUCUUUCAAGUAAAAGAUAUUUUUGCAAGACAAUAAAAUUACUCUACAAAAUUGAAGGGGCUAAGUUUUUAGUUUUUUUCUUCCCCUGAAGUUUGUAGUAUUUCUCUCAACUCCCAAUCCAAAGAAAGAAAAGUUUCAAAUUUAGUUCAAGAAUGAUUCUUCCAACGUAAAAGAAUUACUUUGAAGAUAAUCUUCAUGACAUCAAAGAUUAAAUAGAAAAACACGGGAUGAAAAGAAGAAGAAGAAAACUCACAAGAAACAACGAUCGAAACGAAAAAUUCACAAAAGUACAAAAAUAAAAUCAGAAAGCGCGAUGAGCGAAAAUAUGCAAACUGGGAAACUAACCGACGGCGUAUAUCAAAACUGCAUCUUGGUGCCAAGUUUGUCAAAGAGCUGUCUGCCUUGUCCGAUAAGAACAAGAAGAAUGAGAAAUUGAGAACCCGAAAAAGGGCUUGUACAGAGCGGU